This is a long non-coding RNA of Pomacea canaliculata, 561 nucleotides long. RefSeq lists it as uncharacterized. The transcript is spliced from 3 exons. NCBI's taxonomy places the organism in Eukaryota, Metazoa, Mollusca, Gastropoda, Architaenioglossa, Ampullariidae. The record is from RefSeq and is a predicted model, not a curated record.
GUAUUGCUUUCCUUCCCUGCCAUCGUGAAGACCCAGGCCACUUAUAAAGAUAGAUAUUGAAGUGACUGGCUUGAACUUUCUGCGAGAUAAGAAUAUGGUGUAUUAAAGACCGAGCUGUGAUAGUGCUAGUCAGUCAGCUGUUAGAAGUACAGGUCACAAUUCCCGACACUAGAGAGAAGGGUGCGCACACGAGGCUCCACUUACCACACUUCAAAGCAAAAUGAGAAGGUUCCUCUUUGUGGCGGCCCUGGUGGGAGUCGUUCUGUCGGACUAUGUCCACAUGCGUGAGCCAUGUCCAGAGUCAGAGGUGUGCCCCGGACAUCCUGAAGCGAUCUGCAAGAAGGACUGUCUUACCGUUCUGUUUACCGGCAUCGGCCUAGACUGCAUCUACCACUUCUACAACGCCAAAGACGAGCUCCUCGAUUGCUUCAUGUGAGGAUGACAAGCUGCUGGAUAUAAUGUAGACCAAAACAUUUCUUUGUUCUUUCCGUUCUAACUACAUUUAGGGCAUGUUCAUGAAACGAAAAUAUUGUCAAAUAAAGUAAAGAAGCAAUUAGUGAA